GACGAACGCUGGCGGCGUGCUUAACACAUGCAAGUCGAACGGAAAGGCCCUGCUUUUGUGGGGUGCUCGAGUGGCGAACGGGUGAGUAACACGUGAGUAACCUGCCCUUGACUUUGGGAUAACUUCAGGAAACUGGGGCUAAUACCGGAUAGGAGCUCCUGCUGCAUGGUGGGGGUUGGAAAGUUUGGGCGGUUGGGGAUGGACUCGCGGCUUAUCAGCUUGUUGGUGGGGUAGUGGCUUACCAAGGCUUUGACGGGUAGCCGGCCUGAGAGGGUGACCGGCCACACUGGGACUGAGAUACGGCCCAGACUCCUACGGGAGGCAGCAGUGGGGAAUAUUGCACAAUGGGCGGAAGCCUGAUGCAGCAACGCCGCGUGCGGGAUGACGGCCUUCGGGUUGUAAACCGCUUUCGCCUGUGACGAAGCGUGAGUGACGGUAAUGGGUAAAGAAGCACCGGCUAACUACGUG
This 468-nucleotide ribosomal RNA is filed under the name uncultured bacterium. RNAcentral's name for it is "partial 16S ribosomal RNA". It matches the Rfam family "Bacterial small subunit ribosomal RNA", at positions 28 to 507 of the family's 1533-position model. The record is from RNAcentral.